This 489-nucleotide ribosomal RNA is filed under the name uncultured bacterium. RNAcentral's name for it is "partial 16S ribosomal RNA". It matches the Rfam family "Bacterial small subunit ribosomal RNA", at positions 29 to 507 of the family's 1533-position model. The record is from RNAcentral.
AUGAACGCUAGCUACAGGCUUAACACAUGCAAGUCGAGGGGCAGCAUGGUCUUAGCUUGCUAAGGCCGAUGGCGACCGGCGCACGGGUGAGUAACACGUAUCCAACCUGCCGUCUACUCUUGGACAGCCUUCUGAAAGGAAGAUUAAUACAAGAUGGCAUCAUGAGUCCGCAUGUUCACAUGAUUAAAGGUAUUCCGGUAGACGAUGGGGAUGCGUUCCAUUAGAUAGUAGGCGGGGUAACGGCCCACCUAGUCUUCGAUGGAUAGGGGUUCUGAGAGGAAGGUCCCCCACAUUGGAACUGAGACACGGUCCAAACUCCUACGGGAGGCAGCAGUGAGGAAUAUUGGUCAAUGGGCGAAGGCCUGAACCAGCCAAGUAGCGUGAAGGAUGACUGCCCUAUGGGUUGUAAACUUCUUUUAUAAAGGAAUAAAGUCGGGUAUGUAUACCCGUUUGCAUGUACUUUAUGAAUAAGGAUCGGCUAACUCCGUG